GACAAUAGAGUAGAUUGGGUCAAAGGAAGAAAAGAGACAUUUGGAAAGUAGUGUAGAAAUGGCGGAAGAAGAAGACGAUUACAUGGGCGACCUCUCUCAGUUCUUACCUUCCCAAUCCGAACUCUCCCUAAACCCUCCCGCCCCAAAGGUUCCUAGCGUCAAUGGCGGUAGUAAAGCAGCUAAUUCACAAUAUUCUAAAAAGAGACCGAAAAUCCGAAAUUGGCAAGAACAAAGAAAGCUCAAGCGAGAAAUCAAGCAAGUAGAAGAGGAUAAUCGAACCCUAGCUGGCCUAGAAUCAGCCAUUCCACAGUCCAACAUUGGUUUCAAGAUGUUGAAGCAGAUGGGUUACACCCCUGGGUCUGGUUUAGGUGGUUCGGGUCGGGCUGAGCCUGUGGGGCUGGAGAUUCGGCGGUCCAGAGCUGGGAUUGGGCGGGAGGAUCCUAUAAAGGAGAAGCUGAGGAAGGAGGAGGAAAUGUUGUGGGAAAAGAGGAGGAGAGAGGAGGAAUUGAUGUCAGAUUUUGGGUGUAGGGUUAAGGAGCGGUGGCGGAAUAAGAGGGUCGUUGUGAAUUUUCACAAGGCUAAAGGGGUUUUGGAUCAAUUGGAGAACAAAGAGGUUGUGGAGGUGGAGAAGAAAGAUGAUGAUGAAAAAGAGGAGGGAGAGGAUGAAGAAGAGGAAGUGAUUACAGAAGAGGAUUUGCACGAGAUAUUGAUGAAGCUGAGGGAUGAUUUUCAGUACUGUCUUUUUUGUGGAUGUCAGUAUGAAUCAAGGGAGGCACUGUUGGGUGAUUGUCCUGGCAUAGAUGAAGAUGAUCACUAAAGGUAAAAGCAUCAUGGUACCACAAGGAAGUAGCAGUCUAGAGAUGAUUAAUGAUGAUGGAAGAUUUUUGCAUACAGCAUUGCUGUUGAAUAUGUGAACCAUUAGGAUGGCUACACACAUAAAUUGGGUGAAGAUGGAAGUUUGACUCGCCGGUUGAAGCCCGCCCAUUGGAAGAUAUAUCACACAUGUAUUGCCUUGUUAGAGGAGAUAAGAAGUCGAAAAAUCAUAGAUGCUUUUUAUGAAUCUAAUCAAAAACGAAUUGUGUUUUUGUUUGAAGCCUUGAAUUCCCUGUUUAUAUGUAUAUAUGA
This is an RNA transcript of Cynara cardunculus var. scolymus (artichoke), 1125 nucleotides long. It is a transcript of the gene named G patch domain-containing protein 11, with no coding region annotated. The transcript is spliced from 5 exons. Lineage: Eukaryota; Viridiplantae; Streptophyta; Magnoliopsida; Asterales; Asteraceae. The record is from RefSeq and is a predicted model, not a curated record.